UGAGGAAUAUUGGUCAAUGGACGAGAGUCUGAACCAGCCAAGUAGCGUGCAGGAUGACGGCCCUAUGGGUUGUAAACUGCUUUUAUAAGGGAAUAAAGUGGGAGUCGUGACUCCUUUUGCAUGUACCUUAUGAAUAAGGACCGGCUAAUUCCGUGCCAGCAGCCGCGGUAAUACGGAAGGUCCGGGCGUUAUCCGGAUUUAUUGGGUUUAAAGGGAGCGUAGGCCGGAGAUUAAGCGUGUUGUGAAUUGUAGAUGCUCAACAUCUGCACUGCAGCGCGAACUGGUUUCCUUGAGUACACACAAAGUGGGCGGAAUUCGUGGUGUAGCGGUGAAAUGCUUAGAUAUCACGAAAAACUCCGAUUGCGAAGGCAGCUCACUGGAGC
RNAcentral lists this ribosomal RNA (383 nucleotides) under uncultured Prevotella sp. RNAcentral describes it as "bacterial SSU rRNA". It matches the Rfam family "Bacterial small subunit ribosomal RNA", at positions 355 to 735 of the family's 1533-position model. Lineage: Bacteria; Pseudomonadati; Bacteroidota; Bacteroidia; Bacteroidales; Prevotellaceae. The record is from RNAcentral.